GACGAACGCUGGCGGCGUGCUUAACACAUGCAAGUCGAACGGAAAGGCCCUGCUUUUGUGGGGUGCUCGAGUGGCGAACGGGUGAGUAACACGUGAGUAACCUGCCCUUGACUUUGGGAUAACUUCAGGAAACUGGGGCUAAUACCGGAUAGGAGCUCCUGCUGCAUGGUGGGGGUUGGAAAGUUUCGGCUGUUGGGGAUGGACUCGCGGCUUAUCAGCUUGUUGGUGGGGUAGUGGCUUACCAAGGCUUUGACGGGUAGCCGGCCUGAGAGGGUGACCGGCCACAUUGGGACUGAGAUAGGGCCCAGAGUCGUACGGGAGGCAGCAGUGGGGAAUAUUGCACAAUGGGCGGAAGCCUGAUGCAGCAGCGCCGCGUGCGGGAUGACGGCCUUCGGGUUGUAAACCGCUUUCGCCUGUGACGAAGCGUGAGUGACGGUAAUGGGUAAAGAAGCACCGGCUAACUACGUG
Molecule: ribosomal RNA, 468 nt
Filed under: uncultured bacterium
Lineage: Bacteria
Description: partial 16S ribosomal RNA
Rfam family: Bacterial small subunit ribosomal RNA
Source: RNAcentral